Molecule: transfer RNA, 74 nt
Filed under: Ictidomys tridecemlineatus (thirteen-lined ground squirrel)
Lineage: Eukaryota; Metazoa; Chordata; Mammalia; Rodentia; Sciuridae
Description: Spermophilus tridecemlineatus (thirteen-lined ground squirrel) tRNA
Rfam family: tRNA
About the family: Transfer RNA (tRNA) molecules are approximately 80 nucleotides in length. Their secondary structure includes four short double-helical elements and three loops (D, anti-codon, and T loops).
Source: Rfam by way of RNAcentral
GGGGGUAUAGCUCAGUUGGUAGAGCGCUUGUCUCACAUCGCACAAGGCCCUGGGUUCAAUCCCCAGCACCACCA